AUCGCCACGGGGGGCAGCAGUAGGGAAUUUUCGUCAAUGGGCGCAAGCCUGAACGAGCAAUGCCGCGUGAACGAGGAAGGUCUUCGGAUCGUAAAGUUCUGUUGAAGGGGAAAAAGAGCGGAGAGAGGAAAUGAACUCCGAUUGAUAUUACCCUUCGAGGAAGUCACGGCUAACUACGUGCCAGCAGCCGCGGUAAUACGUAGGUGGCGAGCGUUAUCCGGAAUGAUUGGGCGUAUAGGGUGCGUAGGCGGCCUGCUAAGUCUGGAGUGAAAGGGACA
This 278-nucleotide ribosomal RNA is filed under the name uncultured bacterium. RNAcentral's name for it is "partial 16S ribosomal RNA". It matches the Rfam family "Bacterial small subunit ribosomal RNA", at positions 335 to 605 of the family's 1533-position model. The record is from RNAcentral.